RNAcentral lists this ribosomal RNA (598 nucleotides) under Aspergillus costiformis. Its description in RNAcentral is "eukaryotic LSU rRNA". It matches the Rfam family "Eukaryotic large subunit ribosomal RNA", at positions 1 to 601 of the family's 3401-position model. Lineage: Eukaryota; Fungi; Ascomycota; Eurotiomycetes; Eurotiales; Aspergillaceae. The record is from RNAcentral.
UUGACCUCGGAUCAGGUAGGGAUACCCGCUGAACUUAAGCAUAUCAAUAAGCGGAGGAAAAGAAACCAACCGGGAUUGCCUCAGUAACGGCGAGUGAAGCGGCAAGAGCUCAAAUUUGAAAUCUGGCCCCUCCGGGGUCCGAGUUGUAAUUUGUAGAGGAUGCUUCGGGUGCGGCCCCCGUCUAAGUGCUCUGGAACGGGCCAUCGGAGAGGGUGAGAAUCCCGUCUGGGACGGGGUGUCCGCGUCCAUGUGAAGCUCCUUCGACGAGUCGAGUUGUUUGGGAAUGCAGCUCUAAAUGGGUGGUAAAUUUCAUCUAAAGCUAAAUACUGGCCGGAGACCGAUAGCGCACAAGUAGAGUGAUCGAAAGAUGAAAAGCACUUUGAAAAGAGAGUGAAACAGCACGUGAAAUUGUUGAAAGGGAAGCGCUUGCGACCAGACUCGCUUCCGGGGUUCAGCCGGCUUUCGGGCCGGUGUACUUCCCCGGGGGCGGGCCAGCGUCGGUUUGGGCGGCCGGUCAAAGGCCCCUGGAAUGUAACGCCUCUCGGGGCGCCUUAUAGCCAGGGGUGUCAUGCGGCCAGCCUGGACCGAGGAACGCGCU